CCUACGGGUUGCACCAGUGGGGAAUAUUGGACAAUGGGCGAAAGCCUGAUCCAGCAAUGCCGCGUGUGUGAAGAAGGUCUUCGGAUUGUAAAGCACUUUCGACGGGGUCGAUGAUGACGGUACCCGUAGAAGAAGCCCCGGCUAACUUAGUGCCAGCAGCCGCGGUAAUACGAAGGGGGCUAGCGUUGCUCGGAAUGACUGGGCGUAAAGGGCGCGUAGGCGGUUCAUGCAGUCAGAUGUGAAAUCCCCGGGCUUGACCUGGGAACUGCAUUUGAGACGCAUAGACUAGAGGUCGAGAGAGGGUUGUGGAAUUCCCAGUGUAGAGGUGAAAUUCGUAGAUAUUGGGAAGAACACCGGUGGCGAAGGCGGCAACCUGGCUCGAUACUGACGCUGAGGCGCGAAAGCGUGGGGAGCAAACAGGAUUAGAUACCCUUGUAGUC
Molecule: ribosomal RNA, 440 nt
Filed under: uncultured bacterium
Lineage: Bacteria
Description: bacterial SSU rRNA
Rfam family: Bacterial small subunit ribosomal RNA
Source: RNAcentral